RNAcentral lists this long non-coding RNA (1457 nucleotides) under Homo sapiens (human). Its description in RNAcentral is "HSALNT0379361". The record is from RNAcentral. Lineage: Eukaryota; Metazoa; Chordata; Mammalia; Primates; Hominidae.
CCACUGCACUCCAGCCUGGGUGACAGAGGGAGACCCUGUCUCAAAAAAAAAAAAAAAAAAUAGAUGGGGUAGAUGCUUUUGGAAGAAUAUGCAGUCACUGCUCACACCAGCAUGGAACAAGUGGACUGGGGUUACUGCCUGGCGAGUCUCUUUCAGGUCCCUGAAUGCAGUUAACUCAGCGAGUCCUGAGUUCCCCAGGAGGUGGGCAUUCCCAUCUUACCCACGUUGCAGAUGAAGACACUGAGGUAUUGGGAGAACCUGCCCAGGUGAUACAGGUAGUAUGUGGCGGUUGGGGGAUGUGAACUUGAGCUCCUGACCAACUCUGCUGCAUGGGCUGACAACUCCGGCUUCUCCGGGAGAGGGGCAGGGGCUGAGGUGGGGCUUUUUUGUUUUUGUUUUUGGCCUUUCUGAGUCCUCUGUGCUUUCUUCCCAGGUGCAUAGAUGACUUACUUUCAGAAAAUGUCAACAGGGUGCUCUGCAGAGGGGCAUGGGCUUUUAUGCCUUUAUUAUGCUUUUCUGUAUUAAAAGAAAAAUACAGUCAUGUGAUUUUAGAAACUCAACCCAUGGAAGAGAGAAUACUGGGUCUGUAGGAAAUCUGCAAAGUGGGAAAGAUACUUCUGGGCUUGGUGGUGGCACCUUGGAGCCUGCUUACGGAAAUCACCUCUCGUUCCCGUGAUGCUGAAAGCAGAAUGCUGGACAUGGAAGAACCGCGGUACUCGAGCUUCGUCUGCUGCCCCACACCCCACUGGCUGUUGCAAGAGUGACGUUGCCAUUGGUGACUGCAGGUCUCCCAGCAGCCUGGUGCAGAGAGGCCACUUCAGGCUCGAACAGAGGCCCGGGUUUCCACGGGAGACAGCAGAGCCACGGUGUAGCAGGCAUCCAGCUCUCCCCCGAUCAGUUCCGUGACUUGUCGGAAGGCCCUCCCUCCCGGUCAGACGAAGAAAGGACUGGUGGCCUCUGGGGAUCCUGAGCCUGUCUCCAUGGGAACCAGCUCACCCACCCCCUCUCUGGCACCAGAACAUUCUUCCAGAGCUUCACUGGAGCCUUCCUCUUCAGCAUGACCGUCCCUGGCCACCUGAUCCAGAGCUGGCGGCUCCCAGGCAUAGCCCAUCCCUGCUGCGGCUCUGCACUGCCCCAGUCCUCACCUGCAUGCAGGGGACUAUUCACAUGCUGACCGUCUGUCCAUCUCCCGUAAGAACGUCGGCUCCUUCCACGUCUGCUGGGCGUGGAGGAUCCCUCACAGCCUCCCCGACCUCAGAGCCAUGAGAGACUUGCAAAGCUUGAAACAAACUCUGAAAGGACUCUUCACAGAUAAAUUCCUCCAGGUGCAUGUUUCAAACAAUUUUAUUAUCUAACCCAAGAGUAAGUUAGCAAUCGAUUUCCUAAUCUUUAUUGAUUGGCAGUGGGCAGGCUAGUGUGAUUAAAGAUGUGAGAGAGACUUGCCAAAUAAAAUGCAU